CCGUUGGGUCCUGCGCAACGAAUCCCUGUGAACCCCGCCAGGCCCGGGAGGGAGCAACGGUAGCAGGGCCCUUCGUGUGCCGCAGGGUAGCCCGACGG
Molecule: signal recognition particle RNA, 98 nt
Filed under: Thermosulfuriphilus ammonigenes
Lineage: Bacteria; Pseudomonadati; Thermodesulfobacteriota; Thermodesulfobacteria; Thermodesulfobacteriales; Thermodesulfobacteriaceae
Description: large signal recognition particle RNA
Rfam family: Bacterial small signal recognition particle RNA
About the family: The signal recognition particle (SRP) is a universally conserved ribonucleoprotein involved in the co-translational targeting of proteins to membranes. Archaeal SRP consists of a 7S RNA and homologues of the eukaryotic SRP19 and SRP54 proteins. In most bacteria, the SRP consists of a 4.5S RNA and the Ffh protein (a homologue of the eukaryotic SRP54 protein).
Source: RNAcentral